ACCCACCAGAAUGACUACACAAGAAAACUGAUACCAAGUUUGGAUGAAGAUGUGAAAUAACUGAAAUUCUUACACAGUUCAGGACCUCGAAAGAUGAGACAGGAGAUGGGUGUAUAAUAAGUUACUAGGUAGGGAGCAAUGCAGAAAAACAAGUUACGGAAGCUCCGAGCAUGCCUCUGAGAAGAUGGACACCGCUGGUCACUUCGGUUCACCAAGAGUCACAAAUGGUGUCUCUUCGUUAAGCAAAUUCUCCAGCGAGGGACUUACCAUGGGGGAAAGCAAAGUCUGACUUUGUGACUUGGGCUCCACAGACAACCUAAUGACGGCUGCGGAAGUCACUAGAAUAAAGCUCUGAGGGCACGACUCCGCAGGCCCUGCAGUGCAGUUGGUGACCUGUGAGGAAAGGCACGAUGUCGAUGUGAACCAAGGCAUGUGGCAAAUGGCAGAGCUCCUGUGAGGAUGAGCUCCUGGUCCCCCAGAUCUUCUGUUGGUCUCCCAAUGUCCACGUGCUGCCUGGCCCAUCUUCCCAGACCAUUCUUCCCUUCAAAAUUGCACCAGAGCUUAUAGAUUCACAUUUUGAUUGAACCUUAAUCCAGGCAAGAGACGCCAAUGGCAGGAAUUUCAAGCACAG
Molecule: long non-coding RNA, 631 nt
Organism: Suricata suricatta (meerkat)
Lineage: Eukaryota; Metazoa; Chordata; Mammalia; Carnivora; Herpestidae
Exons: 6
Source: RefSeq, a predicted model, not a curated record